UACAGAGGGUGCAAGCGUUAAUCGGAAUUACUGGGCGUAAAGCGCGCGUAGGUGGUUCGUUAAGUUGGAUGUGAAAUCCCCGGGCUCAACCUGGGAACUGCAUCCAAAACUGGCGAACUUGAGUACGAUAGGGGAUAGCGGAAUUCUUGGUGUAGCGGUGAAAUGCGUAGAUAUCAAGAGGAACACCUGCGGCGAAGGCGGGUUGCUGGGCCGACACUGACGCUGAAGCGCGAAAGCCAGGGGAGCGAACGGG
Molecule: ribosomal RNA, 253 nt
Filed under: uncultured prokaryote
Description: partial 16S ribosomal RNA
Rfam family: Bacterial small subunit ribosomal RNA
Source: RNAcentral